AUACGAAGGGGGCAAGCGUUGUUCGGAAUAACUGGGCGUAAAGCGCACGUAGGCGGAAUGUUAAGUUAGAGGUGAAAUCCCAGGGCUCAACCCUGGAACUGCCUUUAAUACUGGCAAUCUAGAGUCCGGGAGAGGUGAGUGGAAUUCCGAGUGUAGAGGUGAAAUUCGUAGAUAUUCGGAGGAACACCAGUGGCGAAGGCGACUCACUGGCCCGGUACUGACGCUGAGGUGCGAAAGCGUGGGGAGCAAACAGGAUUAGAAACCCUAGUAGUCC
Molecule: ribosomal RNA, 274 nt
Filed under: uncultured bacterium
Lineage: Bacteria
Description: partial 16S ribosomal RNA
Rfam family: Bacterial small subunit ribosomal RNA
Source: RNAcentral